CAUUUGGAAGUUUACCCUAAUGUCACAUAUAUGCUCUGUCAAUAGUACAAUUCCCUGAUGUCACGUAACACCAACAUUCAUCGCUCAAUGCUAUCAUGCCUCUUUGUGCGUAAAUCUUAAAAGUACCAUUCAAACUUGCAUAUUGUACCGUACUGCUAGUCCCAAGCCAACAAAACAAGAGAUCUAAAUUUUGUUCCGAAAUGCCAGAAAACUAACUUCUGGUGAUU
RNAcentral lists this long non-coding RNA (227 nucleotides) under Oryza brachyantha (malo sina). RNAcentral's name for it is "long non-coding RNA (OBRA_LNC001667)". The record is from RNAcentral. Lineage: Eukaryota; Viridiplantae; Streptophyta; Magnoliopsida; Poales; Poaceae.